Molecule: long non-coding RNA, 2054 nt
Filed under: Homo sapiens (human)
Lineage: Eukaryota; Metazoa; Chordata; Mammalia; Primates; Hominidae
Description: HSALNT0064575
Source: RNAcentral
CUGGUGGGAAGUGAUUGAAUUAUGGGGGCAGAUCUUUCCUGUGCAGUUCUCAUGAUAGUGAAUGAGUCUCAUGAGAUCUGAUGGUUUUAAAAAGAGGAGAUUCCCUGCACAAGCUCUCUUUUUGCCUGCCACCAUCCAUGUAAGAUGUGACUUGCUCCUCCUUGCCUUCUGCCAUGAUUGUGAGGCCUCCCCAGCCACUUGGAACUGAAGCAAACACUGCUAUUGCCACCUUUUUGCAGAGGAAGGUACUGAGGUGAAGCGACUUGCCCAAACCCUACAAAAAGCACUGUGCCAGGUGCUGGAUUUAUAACCACAAAAACAGAGGGGCAGAAUGUCUGCAUUUCCAGUGGGCAAGACAGACAAUGUGCCUAUCUGUGCAUUUCCUUGUAAAAUCCAGCUUUCGCAAGAGCAUGAACAAAUCAGUUUGGCAAGACCUCCCCACCCUCAACAUCUGAUCACGUGUCUCAUCCUCCAUGAUGCCACAGAACUCUGCAGAGCCACCACCAGCAAGAAGGUCCUCACCAGAUGCAGCCCCUUGACCUUAGACUUCUCACCUUCAAGAACUGUGGUCUUCAGGGCUGUCUCCAUGAAGUCAUCACCAGCCUUCCCAGGCCAGGACUCUCCAUGCCAUCCUUAGCAAGGAGAAGAAAACAAAUACCCGGCAUCCAUUUCCAGGUCCUGCAUGAUGUGAUGGGAGAGGGGAGAACACUUGUGAAGACACCAAGACACACAGACAGAGGGAAGAUGGCCAUGUGCAGAUGGAGGCAGGGACUGGACUUAUGCUGCCACAAGACAAGAAACACCUGGGGCUGCCAGAUGCCGGAAAAGGCAGGGAAGAGUCCUCCUCCAGAGUCUUCAGAGAGAACAUGACUCUGCAAGCACCUUGAUUUCAGACCUCUAGCCUCCAGACCUGUGAGAAUAAAUGUCUAUUGGUGUUAGGCACCCAGUUUGUAAUACUUUGUUACAGCGGCCCUAGGAAACUAAUACACACCAUAACCCAUAUGAGGGCAAGAACCUUAUGUAUUUUUACUCAGCAUUGACUUCCUAACUUCUAUCUCAGAAGAAGUGCCUGGUUAUGUAAUCAUUCCCUGUAACAAUAAUCUUUAAAUAAGGAAGGUGAUUUUCACAAUUACCUAGGGAACUUUUACCAGGUGGGCAAGAGCCCACCAUGAAGUCUACCCCAAGAAGAUUCACCCACAUAUCUAUAAAACAUUUAAUAAAAGAAAGAAAUCUUCCUUCUUAUACCAGAUUUCCGUAGCAAGUAUUACCUGAGUCAUUAGGGCAGCACGCCCUUCUUUCCCUGAAUUAUCUGGGUAAUUGCACAACUGCUUCACUUCGGUUGCAUAGAUAGUUAACUGCGCACAUUUGGUGUGGUAAUUGGGUAGUGGCCAAGGAACACAAAAUACAUGGCUUCAAAGCAGGUGCUUACAAAAAGGACUCCACUUAAACUGAAAUUCAGCCCAAAGAGUUGAUUAGAAACAACUCAAAAGGGUCAGUUAGUGAGUCUGAGCACUGGGGGAAAGGGGCAAAUAAUACUGUCUUUUUCUUUAAACCUAGUCAGAAGAGAAGACAGGAAUAUAUGAAACAGGAGCAAUCACAAGAACGUAACAGAGGACACAGGUGUCAUGUUCAUGGCACAGAACAGAAGCCCCAUAGAGUUCAAAAGACGGGAUGACUGGAGAUAUCCUUGACACAUUGAGCUAAAAAAAAAAACUAAAAACAAGGCCAGGCACAGUGGCUCACACCUGUAAUCCCAGUACUUUGGGAGGCCAAGGUGGGUGGAUCGCCUGCGGUCAGGAGUUCGAGACCAGCCUAGCCAACAUGGCGAAAUCCCAUCUCUACUAAAAUACAAAAAUUAGCUGGGGGUGGUGGCAAGUGCCUGUAAUCCCACCUACUCGGGAGGCUGAGGCAGGAGAAUUGCUUGAACCUGGGAGGUGGAGCUUGCAGUGAGCCGAGAUCACGCCACUACACUUGAGCCUUGAGCCUGGGCGACAGAGCAAGACUCUAUCUCAAAAAUAAAUAAAUAAAUAAAUAAAUAAAUAAACAAAAAAGCA